AGGUCCCAGUUCAGAUUGCAGGCUGCAACCCGCCUGCAUGAAGUCGGAAUUGCUAGUAAUCGCGGAUCAGCAUGCCGCGGUGAAUACGUUCCCGGGCCUUGUACACACCGCCCGUCACACCAUGGGAGCCGGUAAUACCCGAAGUCAGUAGUCCAACCACGUGAGGACGCUGCCGAAGGUAGGAUUGGCGACUGGGGUGAAGUCGUAACAAGGUAAC
Molecule: ribosomal RNA, 217 nt
Filed under: uncultured bacterium
Lineage: Bacteria
Description: partial 16S ribosomal RNA
Rfam family: Bacterial small subunit ribosomal RNA
Source: RNAcentral